UCCCAAGAGGAGUGGCCAGAAACAGGA
This 27-nucleotide non-coding RNA is filed under the name Rattus norvegicus (Norway rat). The record is from RNAcentral. Lineage: Eukaryota; Metazoa; Chordata; Mammalia; Rodentia; Muridae.